AAUUUUAUUCGUUCAAUUUUUCAGAUUCUUAGUAUGUUACAUGAGUCGAUUGAACUUACGAGAUUAAUGCAGGCUCCUCUCCGGCAGCUUCUCCGCCUAAAGGAUCGUCUACACCUGGUACACCGUCACCCACGGGUUCACCACCAUCUACUGGAGGUACGCCGGAUCAGAAUUUUAAUUUUAUUCGUUCAAUUUUUCAGAUUCUUAGUAUGUUACAUGAGUCGAUUGAACUUACGAGAUUAAUGCAGGCUCCUCUCCGGCAGCUUCUCCGCCUAAAGGAUCGUCUACACCUGGUACACCGUCGGCACCUUCAGCUAAUGCUCCGGCAGGAUCAUCUACACCGGGUGCGUCGUCACCUAAUGGGGCACCAGUAUCUACUCCUGCAGGUAAAUUAUAAAUGAAUUUGGAAUUUCAAUUUGACAGAUUCCAUGUUUUGAUUUCGUUCGAUUUUUAACGUAUUGCACUUUUGAAAUAGUGAAUUGAAUCAUAUAGUUUAUCUGUUUGUUCAGGUAAAUCACCAACCUCAUCACCAACACCUUCCGGUUCAACCGCAUCUCCACCAGCUCCUGCGACCGGAGGAUCCGUAGCUCCGGCAAUGUCUCCGGUAGCUAAUGGACCGUCAACUAGUACUCCAGGUUCUUCUUCACCGGUGGCAGGCGGACCAUCGUCUGGAAGCAGUAUGGCA
Molecule: long non-coding RNA, 685 nt
Filed under: Solanum tuberosum (potato)
Lineage: Eukaryota; Viridiplantae; Streptophyta; Magnoliopsida; Solanales; Solanaceae
Description: long non-coding RNA (STUB_LNC011074)
Source: RNAcentral